AAGCUGUGAUGAAAAUUGUGUCAACUGUGAUAGCGGGUCUAUCACUAACAUCUGAUUCUUCAGGUGAAAAGUAACACAUCUGAGCUC
This is a small nucleolar RNA of Lotus japonicus, 87 nucleotides long. RefSeq annotates it as small nucleolar RNA snoR114. The transcript has a single exon. The record is from RefSeq and is a predicted model, not a curated record. Lineage: Eukaryota; Viridiplantae; Streptophyta; Magnoliopsida; Fabales; Fabaceae.